RNAcentral lists this ribosomal RNA (649 nucleotides) under Salamandrella keyserlingii (Siberian salamander). Its description in RNAcentral is "partial 12S ribosomal RNA". It matches the Rfam family "Bacterial small subunit ribosomal RNA", at positions 547 to 1525 of the family's 1533-position model. Lineage: Eukaryota; Metazoa; Chordata; Amphibia; Caudata; Hynobiidae. The record is from RNAcentral.
ACGGCCUAAAGAGUGGUUAAACUAUAUUAAAAUAAAUAGAAAUAAAAAUUAAUUUGACUGUCGCACGUAUUUAUUAAUCGUAAAAUCAUAAACGAAAGAUAUUCUAAUAAACAAAUUAUUUGAACCCACGAAAGCUAAGAAACAAACUAGGAUUAGAUACCCUACUAUGCUUAGCCUUAAACUUUGGAAACCCCGCCUGAGUACUACGAGCCACAGCUUAAAACUCAAAGGACUUGGCGGUGCUCUACACCCCCUAGAGGAGCCUGUUCUAUAAUUGAUAAUCCCCGCUAGACCUCGCCACUUAUUGCCAAUACCGCCUAUAUACCGCCGUCGUCAGCCCACCAUUUAAAUGUGGAGUAGUAGGCACAAUGAUAAACAUAAAAACGUCAGGUCAAGGUGUAGCGAAUUAAGUGGAAAGAAAUGGGCUACAUUUUCUACACAGAAAAUACGAAAAAUAUUAUGAAAAAAAAUUUAAAGGUGGAUUUAGCAGUAAAAAGAAAACAGAGUGUUCUUUUUAAACAGGCCCUAGAGCGCGCACACACCGCCCGUCACCCUCCUCAAGAUAAACAAUAAUAACAUAAUAAUAUUAAUACAAAAGAAGAGGUAAGUCGUAACAUGGUAAGUUUACCGGAAGGUGUACUUGGAUUAU